GUGGGGAAUAUUGGACAAUGGGGGCAACCCUGAUCCAGCAAUGCCGCGUGUGUGAAGAAGGCCUGCGGGUUGUAAAGCACUUUCAGUAGAGAAGAAAAGCCUAAGGUUAAUAACCUUGAGUCUUGACGUAACCUACAGAAGAAGCACCGGCUAACUCCGUGCCAGCAGCCGCGGUAAUACGGAGGGUGCAAGCGUUAAUCGGAAUUACUGGGCGUAAAGCGCACGUAGGUGGUUUUGUAAGUCGGAUGUGAAAGCCCUGGGCUCAACCUGGGAAUUGCAUUCGAUACUGCUUAACUAGAGUAUGGUAGAGGGAAGUGGAAUUUCCGGUGUAGCGGUGAAAUGCGUAGAUAUCGGAAGGAACACCAGUGGCGAAGGCGACUUCCUGGGCCAAUACUGACACUGAGGUGCGAAAGCGUGGGUAGCAAACAGGAUUAGAAACCCCUGUAGUCC
Molecule: ribosomal RNA, 450 nt
Filed under: uncultured bacterium
Lineage: Bacteria
Description: bacterial SSU rRNA
Rfam family: Bacterial small subunit ribosomal RNA
Source: RNAcentral